RNAcentral lists this ribosomal RNA (468 nucleotides) under uncultured bacterium. Its description in RNAcentral is "partial 16S ribosomal RNA". It matches the Rfam family "Bacterial small subunit ribosomal RNA", at positions 28 to 507 of the family's 1533-position model. The record is from RNAcentral.
GACGAACGCUGGCGGCGUGCUUAACACAUGCAAGUCGAACGGAAAGGCCCUGCUUUUGUGGGGUGCUCGAGUGGCGAACGGGUGAGUAACACGUGAGUAACCUGCCCUUGACUUUGGGAUAACUUCAGGAAACUGGGGCUAAUACCGGAUAGGAGCUCCUGCUGCAUGGGGGGGGUUGGAAAGUUUCGGCGGUUGGGGAUGGACUCGCGGCUUAUCAGCUUGUUGGUGGGGUAGUGGCUUACCAAGGCUUUGACGGGUAGCCGGCCUGAGAGGGUGACCGGCCACCUUGGGACUGAGAUGCGGCCGAGACUCCUACGGGAGGCAGCAGUGGGGAAUAUUGCACAAUGGGCGGAAGCCUGAUGCAGCAACGCCGCGUGCGGGAUGACGGCCUUCGGGUUGUAAACCGCUUUCGCCUGUGACGAAGCGUGAGUGACGGUAAUGGGUAAAGAAGCACCGGCUAACUACGUG